UGGGGAAUAUUGGACAAUGGGGGGAACCCUGAUCCAGCCAUGCCGCGUGUGUGAAGAAGGCCUUAUGGUUGUAAAGCACUUUAAGCGAGGAGGAGGGUACUGGUAUUAAUACUACCAGGUACUGGACGUUACUCGCAGAAUAAGCACCGGCUAACUCUGUGCCAGCAGCCGCGGUAAUACAGAGGGUGCGAGCGUUAAUCGGAUUUACUGGGCGUAAAGCGUGCGUAGGCGGCUAAUUGAGUCGGAUGUGAAAUCCCCGAGCUUAACUUGGGAAUUGCAUUCGAUACUGGUUAGCUAGAGUGUGGGAGAGGAUGGUAGAAUUCCAGGUGUAGCGGUGAAAUGCGUAGAGAUCUGGAGGAAUACCGAUGUCGAAGGCAGCCAUCUGGCCUAACACUGACGCUGAGGUACGAAAGCAUGGGGAGCAAACAGG
RNAcentral lists this ribosomal RNA (430 nucleotides) under Pseudomonadota bacterium. RNAcentral's name for it is "Proteobacteria bacterium partial 16S ribosomal RNA". It matches the Rfam family "Bacterial small subunit ribosomal RNA", at positions 355 to 776 of the family's 1533-position model. The record is from RNAcentral. Lineage: Bacteria; Pseudomonadati; Pseudomonadota.